GAUGAACGCUGGCGGCGUGCCUAAUACAUGCAAGUCGAGCGAACAGACGAGGAGCUUGCUCCUCUGACGUUAGCGGCGGACGGGUGAGUAACACGUGGAUAACCUACCUAUAAGACUGGGAUAACUUCGGGAAACCGGAGCUAAUACCGGAUAAUAUAUUGAACCGCAUGGUUCAAUAGUGAAAGACGGUUUUGCUGUCACUUAUAGAUGGAUCCGCGCCGCAUUAGCUAGUUGGUAAGGUAACGGCUUACCAAGGCAACGAUGCGUAGCCGACCUGAGAGGGUGAUCGGCCACACUGGAACUGAGACUCGGUCCAGACUCCGACGGGAGGCAGCAGUAGGGAAUCUUCCGCAAUGGGCGAAAGCGUGACGGAGCAACGCCGCGUGAGUGAUGAAGGUCUUCGGAUCGUAAAACUCUGUUAUUAGGGAAGAACAAAUGUGUAAGUAACUAUGCACGUCUUGACGGUACCUAAUCAGAAAGCCACGGCUAACUACGUG
Molecule: ribosomal RNA, 497 nt
Filed under: uncultured bacterium
Lineage: Bacteria
Description: partial 16S ribosomal RNA
Rfam family: Bacterial small subunit ribosomal RNA
Source: RNAcentral